RNAcentral lists this non-coding RNA (45 nucleotides) under Trichobilharzia regenti. Lineage: Eukaryota; Metazoa; Platyhelminthes; Trematoda; Strigeidida; Schistosomatidae. The record is from RNAcentral.
AUCCAGCUGACGAGUUCCAAAUAGGACGAAAUGCGCAUCCUAGAU